UUUCUUAAAACUUAGUGUAGUAAUAGUUAUGUUCUUGAAACUUAAAAAAUUUGGCGGUAUUUUAAUCUAUUCAGAGGAACCUGUUUUAUAAUCGAUAAUCCACGAUGGACCUUACUUAAACUUGUAAUCAGCUUAUAUAUCGUCGUUAUUAGAAUAUUUUAUUAGAAAGUUAAUUUUCAAAAUUUUAUAAAAGAAAAUAUAUCAGAUCAAGGUGUAGCUUAUGUUUAAGUAAAAAUGGGUUACAAUAAAAAUAUUUAUAUGAAUAUAAAUUUGAAAUGUUUAUUGAAGGUGGAUUUGAUAGUAAAAUUAUAAAGAUUAAUAAUUUGAUUUUAGCUCUAAAAUAUGC
This 346-nucleotide ribosomal RNA is filed under the name Tachina nupta. RNAcentral describes it as "partial 12S ribosomal RNA". Lineage: Eukaryota; Metazoa; Arthropoda; Insecta; Diptera; Tachinidae. The record is from RNAcentral.